GACGAACGCUGGCGGCGUGCUUAACACAUGCAAGUCGAACGGAAAGGCCUGCUUUCCCUUGUGGAUUUCGGUUACUCGCGUGGCGAACGGGUGAGUAACACGUGAGUGAUCUGCCCCCAACUUGGGUAUAAGCCUGGGAAACUGGGUCUAAUUCCCGAUAGUACUGCAGGGUGGUGCCUGUGGUGGAAAACGAUUCUCUAGUGGUUGGGGAUGAGCUCUCGUCCUAUCAGCUUGUUGUUGGGGUAAUGGCCUACAAAGGCGGCUACGGGUAGCCGGCCUGGGAGGGCGGACGGGCAAAUGGGACCCGGGACAAGGCCCAGAGUCCUACGGCAGGAAGCAGUGGGGGAUAAUGGACAAUAGGCGGAAGCAUGAAGCAGCGACGCGGCGAGGGGGAUGACGGAUUUUGGGGUGUAGACUUCUGUGGAGCGCGAGGAAGCCAGCUGGUUGGACGGGUGGUGACGGUAGUGGAAGAAGAAGCAACGGCUAACUACGUG
RNAcentral lists this ribosomal RNA (494 nucleotides) under uncultured bacterium. RNAcentral describes it as "partial 16S ribosomal RNA". It matches the Rfam family "Bacterial small subunit ribosomal RNA", at positions 28 to 507 of the family's 1533-position model. The record is from RNAcentral.